RNAcentral lists this ribosomal RNA (306 nucleotides) under Triticum aestivum (bread wheat). Its description in RNAcentral is "partial small subunit ribosomal RNA". Lineage: Eukaryota; Viridiplantae; Streptophyta; Magnoliopsida; Poales; Poaceae. The record is from RNAcentral.
AUGGCGUUGAUGGGACCCCGCACCCGAUUGUUUGUUUCCGUUGAGAUUUAUGAGGAUGCUAAUGCGACACUACAAUCAGAGACCCUUCGACAAAACUGUGUGCGAUGCAAUAAUCGUAAACAUUGGUGUAAAAUAACCAUCAAAAAGGUGCAAAAUGUUUGCGAUGGCGGGCACAUCAAACACGGUUCAGAUUUUAGUUGCGUGUGUGAUGCUGGGCAUACGGUUGAUCCAUACAAACUGUCUGCAAUUAGACAGAACAACAGAAACAGUUGCCAUAUCAAUGUCUGUGCGAUAUGCGGCAUAUAG